UGUAGUCAAGUUUCUAAGAGCAAACGGUGGAUGCCUUGGCAUCUGGAGCCGAAGAAGGACGUAGCAAUCUGCGAUAAGCCUCGGGGAGCUGAUAAGCGAGCUUUGAGCCGAGGAUUUCCGAAUGGGGAAACCCCGCUGGGCGUACUUGUACGACCUAGUGACUCCCGCCUGAAUAUAUAGGGCGGGUAGAGGGAACGUGGGGAAGUGAAACAUCUCAGUACCUACAGGAAGAGAAAACAACCGUGAUUCCGUUAGUAGUGGCGAGCGAAACCGGAAGAGGCUAAACCGAGCAUGUGUGAUAGCCGGCAGGCGUUGCAUGUUCGGGGUUGCGGGACUCACCAGCAGAUCUGCCGAUCUGCAAGGGUUACAGCGCGAUAUAGACGAAUGGUCUUGAAAGGCCAGUCACAGAGGGUGCCAACCCCGUAGUCGAAAUGUCGUAAUGGCCCGGAGAGUAUCCCAAGUAGCACGGGGCCCGAGAAAUCCCGUGUGAAUCUGUCAGGACCACCUGAUAAGCCUAAAUACUCCCAGAUGACCGAUAGCGGACAAGUACCGUGAGGGAAAGGUGAAAAGUACCCCGGGAGGGGAGUGAAAUAGUACCUGAAACCGUUUGCUUACAAACCGUCGGAGCAGCCCUAGCAGCUGUGACGGCGUGCCUUUUGAAGAAUGAGCCUGCGAGUUAGCGAUAUGUGGCGAGGUUAACCCGAGAGGGGUAGCCGUAGCGAAAGCGAGUCUGAAUAGGGCGAUUCAGUCGCAUGUCCUAGACCCGAAGCGAAGUGAUCUAUCCAUGGCCAGGUUGAAGCGACGGUAAGACGUCGUGGAGGACCGAACCCACUUAGGUUGAAAACUGAGGGGAUGAGCUGUGGAUAGGGGUGAAAGGCCAAUCAAACUUCGUGAUAGCUGGUUCUCUCCGAAAUGCAUUUAGGUGCAGCGUUGCGUGUUUCUUGCCGGAGGUAGAGCUACUGGAUGGCCGAUGGGCCCCAAAAGGUUACUGACGUCAGCCAAACUCCGAAUGCCGGUAAGUGAGAGCGCAGCAGUGAGACGGUGGGGGAUAAGCUUCAUCGUCGAGAGGGAAACAACCCAGACUACCGACUAAGGUCCCUAAGCGUGUGCUAAGUGGGAAAGGAUGUGGAGUUGCACAGACAACCAGGAGGUUGGCUUAGAAGCAGCCACCCUUGAAAGAGUGCGUAAUAGCUCAAAACCCGUCCUCCGAAAGACCAAGGGUUCCAGGGCCAGGUUAAUCCGCCCUGGGUAAGUCGGGACCUAAGGCGAGGCCGACAGGCGUAGUCGAUGGACAACGGGUUGAUAUUCCCGUACUGACGAAAAACCGCCCAAGUCAAUCCAGUAAUGCUAAGAGUCCGAAUACCGGUGACCGAUCCCUUCGGGGAGGAGCUCCGGGGCUAGCACUCGACCCUAUGCUGGUGCGGCUAGCGUAUUAACAGGUGUGACGCAGGAAGGUAGCUGAGUCGGGCGAUGGUAGUCCCGGUGUAAGGACGUAGGGCGAGAGAUAGGCAAAUCCGUCUCUCACAUAGCCUGAGAUCCGAUGCGUACCCCUCACGGGGGAAAUCAGUGAUCCUAUGCUGCCAAGAAAAGCAUCGACGCGAGGUUUUAGUCACCCGUACCCCAAACCGACUCAGGUGGUCAGGUAGAGAAUACCAAGGAGAUCGAGAGAAUCGUGGUUAAGGAACUCGGCAAAAUGCCCCCGUAACUUCGGGAGAAGGGGGGCCGGAUGUGUGAAGGGACUUGCUCCCGGAGCAUUGAAGGCCGCAGAGACCAGUGGGAAGCGACUGUUUACUAAAAACACAGGUCCGUGCUAAGUCGCAAGACGAUGUAUACGGACUGACGCCUGCCCGGUGCUGGAAGGUUAAGAGGAGCGGUUAGCGCAAGCGAAGCUGCGAAUUUAAGCCCCAGUAAACGGCGGUGGUAACUAUAACCAUCCUAAGGUAGCGAAAUUCCUUGUCGGGUAAGUUCCGACCUGCACGAAUGGCGUAACGACUUCCCAGCUGUCUCAACCGCGAACUCGGCGAAAUUGCACUACGAGUAAAGAUGCUCGUUACGCGCAGCAGGACGGAAAGACCCCGUGACCUUUACUACAGCUUGGUAUUGGUGUUCGGUGUGGCUUGUGUAGGAUAGGUGGGAGACUGUGAAGCUGGCACGCUAGUGUCGGUGGAGUCGUUGUUGAAAUACCACUCUGGUCACUCUGGAUAUCUAACUUCGGACCGUAAUCCGGUUCAGGGACAGUGCCUGGUGGGUAGUUUAACUGGGGCGGUUGCCUCCCAAAAAGUAACGGAGGCGCCCAAAGGUUCCCUCAACCUGGUUGGCAAUCAGGUGUCGAGUGUAAGUGCACAAGGGAGCUUGACUGUGAGACUGACAGGUCGAGCAGGGACGAAAGUCGGGACUAGUGAUCCGGCAGUGGCUUGUGGAAGCGCUGUCGCUCAACGGAUAAAAGGUACCUCGGGGAUAACAGGCUGAUCUUGCCCAAGAGUCCAUAUCGACGGCAUGGUUUGGCACCUCGAUGUCGGCUCGUCGCAUCCUGGGGCUGGAGUAGGUCCCA
Molecule: ribosomal RNA, 2551 nt
Filed under: Micrococcales bacterium 32-70-13
Lineage: Bacteria; Bacillati; Actinomycetota; Actinomycetes; Micrococcales
Description: bacterial LSU rRNA
Rfam family: Bacterial large subunit ribosomal RNA
Source: RNAcentral